Long non-coding RNA from Callorhinchus milii (elephant shark), 977 nucleotides. RefSeq lists it as uncharacterized. Lineage: Eukaryota; Metazoa; Chordata; Chondrichthyes; Chimaeriformes; Callorhinchidae. The record is from RefSeq and is a predicted model, not a curated record. The transcript is spliced from 5 exons.
GGGGGGGGGGUCGGUGUGCGCGCGCGCGCUCGGCGGGAGGCGAGGUGGAGCGCGGGAAUGUGAAUUGCAACAAUCUUCUGGAAUCCAGCUAAGUUAUCAUGUGAAACACAUAGUGCACAAGAAAUAUUAUCGUCUGUCUAGCGGUAAUUGCUCCAGAAGAAAACUGCAGUGAAUACAGUAACAUCUACGCAAGGUGUAUAAAUUAAGAGAGCUUACAUCAUUGGAAUAUGAGUGGUUGAAAUACCUUGGAUGAGACAUCAGUUUUAAAAGCAAUAAAGUGAGGCCCAUUGUCGGAGGAAAGGCGUGAUGGAAUACCAAAUCGAGGAAGGAUGUCUCUUAAUAACACUUUGGCAGUAGUUGUGGCAUCAUUCUUCCUACAGGGAAAAGCCUCUAUCCAUCUGGAAAACAUAUCAAUGAUUACCAACACAUACUGAUAUCCGUCAGCCUUUGGUAGCUGAAUAAAAUCCGUUUGCGGGUGUUCGAAGGGACCUUGAGGGGGAGGAUGAGACGCCGGAGUCACAUCCUCAGCCUUACCUGGAUUAAAUAUCUGACAUGUAACACAAUGCUUUACAACCUGCUGGAGGAAGGGGGUUAAACCUGGGGCAAACCACGACUUCGUUAUCCAAUUAUACAUGGAUUGUGUUCCUUCAUGAGUAAAGUUAUGUAAUACAUGUGCCAUCCAUGGGAACAUUUUUCGUGGCAGAACCACCUUUAACUCAUUUGAGACCCAAAUUCCCAGAUCAUUAAUAAAACAAUCUAGACGGGCCCAUUUUUGUUUUUCCUCCAGAGGGGCCUCAUACUGAAUCCGAAAGAUCUCAUCCCGCAUUGUAUCAGUUACAGAGGGGUACUCGACAGCUUGUUGUAAUAUCAACAUUUUCGCUGGUUUAUUUAAAGCAGCAUGUCUAGCAGCUGCGUCUGCAUAAGCGUUACCUUUAGAAAUUGGGUCAGCUUGGUUUGUGUGGGCUGCACACUUUAUC